Molecule: ribosomal RNA, 478 nt
Filed under: uncultured bacterium
Lineage: Bacteria
Description: partial 16S ribosomal RNA
Rfam family: Bacterial small subunit ribosomal RNA
Source: RNAcentral
GACGAACGCUGGCGGCGUGCUUAACACAUGCAAGUCGAACGGUAAGGCCCUUCGGGGUACACGAGUGGCGAACGGGUGAGUAACACGUGGGUGAUCUGCCCUGCACUUCGGGAUAAGCCUGGGAAACUGGGUCUAAUACCGGAUAGGACCACUGCCUGCAUGGGUGGUGGUGGAAAGCUUUUGCGGUGUGGGAUGGGCCCGCGGCCUAUCAGCUUGUUGGUGGGGUGAUGGGCUACCAAGGCGACGACGGGUAGCCGGCCUGGGGGGGUGGCCGACCACACUGUGACUGAGAUACGACCCAGACUCCUACGGUAGGCAGCAGUGGGGAAUAUUGCACAAUGGGCGCAAGCCUGAUGCAGCGACGCCGCGUGAGGGAUGACGGCCUUCGGGUUGUAAACCUCUUUCAGCACCGACGAAGCGCAAGUGACGGUAGGUGCAGAAGAAGGACCGGCCAACUACGUGCCAGCCGCCGCAGUAA